Oncorhynchus tshawytscha (Chinook salmon) is the source of this 2540-nucleotide long non-coding RNA. The record is from Ensembl. NCBI's taxonomy places the organism in Eukaryota, Metazoa, Chordata, Actinopteri, Salmoniformes, Salmonidae.
GAACGGUGCUAGGGCACAAUUUGGGAUAGGGGGCCAGAGCGCAACAAUAAACCAGAGAGUGAAAAGACGUGUCCUAAUUGGCACCAUAUUCCCCACCUCCAGGCUGUGUAAGGGCUAUUUGACCAAGAAGGAGAGUGAUGCAUCAGAUGAUCUCAACCCAAUUGAGAUGGUUUGGGAUGAGUUGGACUGCAGAGUGAAGGAAAAGCAGCCAACAAGUGCUCAGCAUAUGUGGGAACACUUUCAAGACUGUUGGAACAGCAUUCCAGGUGAAGCUGGUCGAGAGAAUGCAAAGAGUGUGCAAAGCUGUCAUCAAGGCAAAGGGUGGCUACUUUUUCUGGUUACUACAUGAGUUAUUUCAUAGUUUUUGAUGUCUUCACAAUUAUUCUACAAUGUAGAAAAUAGUACAAAUAAAGAAAACCCCUGAAAUGAGUAGGUGUGUCCAAACUUUUGACUGGUACUGUAUAUGAUGAUGUAGCACAGCACCUCAUCACAUGACCAGACAGGCUGAUUUGAGUCUCUGUUUGCUAACAAACAGAACUUCAAUCAAAAGUGAAUGAAUAUCUAUUGUGAAUUUUAACAUGGGCCAGUCAGCAAUGUAGAUACACUACAUGAUCAAAAGUAUGUGGACACCUGCUAUUGAACAUUUCUUUCAAAAAUCAUGGGCAUUAAUAUGGAGUUGGUCCCCCUUUUACUGCUAUAACAGCCUCCACUCUUCUGGGAAGGCUUUCCACUAGAUGUUGGAACAUUGCUGCUAUAACAGCCUCCACUCUUCUGGGAAGGCUUUCCACUAGAUGUUGGAACAUUGCUGCCAUAACAGCCUCCACUCUUCUGGGAAGGCUUUCCACUAGAUGUUGGAACAUUGCUGCGGGGACUUGCUUCCAUUCAGCCACAAGAGCAUUAAUGAGGUCUGGUACUGAUGUUUGGUGGUUAGGCCUGGCUAACAGUCGACGUUCUAAUUCAUCCCAAAGGUAUUUGAUGAGGUUGAGGUCAGGGCUCUGGCCAGUCAAGUUUUUCCACACGGAUCUCGCUUUGUGCACGGGGGAAUUGUCAUGCCGAAACAGGAAAGGGCAUUCUCCAAACUGUUGCCACAAAGUUGGAAGCACAGAAUCGUCUAGAAUGUCCUUGUAUGCUGUAGUGUUAAUAUUUCCCUUCAGUGGAACUAAGGGGCCUGAACCAUGAAAAACAGCCCCAGACCAUUAUUCCUCCUCCACCAAACUUUAGUUUACACUAUGCAUUGGGACAGAUAGCGUUCUCCUGGCAUCCGCCAAACCCAGAUUCGUCCGUCAGACUGCCAGAUGGUGAAGUGUGAUUCAUCACUCCAGAGAACGUGUUUCCACUGCUCCAGAGUCCAAUGGUGGUGAGCUUUACACCACUCCAGAUGAUACUUGUCAUUGCGCAUGGUGAUCUUAGGCUUGUGUGCGGCUGCUCUGCCAUGGAAACCCAUUUCAUGAAGCUCCUGAUGAACCGUUCUUGUGCUGAGUUUGCUUCCAAAGGCAGUUUGGAACUCGGUAGUGAGUGUUGCAACCGAGGACAGAUGAUUUGUAUAUGCUACCCACUUCAGCACUCGGCUAUCCCGUUCUGUGAGCUUUUGUGGGCUACCACUUCGCUGCUGAGCCGUUGUUGCUCCUAGACGUUUCCAUUUCACAAUAACAGCACUUACAGUUGACCGGGGGGCAGCUCUGGCAGGGCAGAAAUGUGACAAACUGACUUGUUGGUGCCACGUUGAAAGUCACUGAGCUCUUCAGUAAGGCCAUUCUACAGCCAAUGUUUGUCUAUGGAGAUUGCAUGUCUGUGUGCUCGAUUUUAUACACCUGUCAGCAACAGGUGUGGCUGAAAUAGCCGAAUCCACAUACUCUUGUGUAUAUAUAGUGUAUAUUGUUAAUAUUAUGAUUAAAGUAUUGAAAUGUGAUUGUCAUGGCAUCAACAUAUAAUUACGGUGUAAUCUGAGGGAUUAAAGUGAGAAAUAAAAAUGUUUAUUACGUGUAAUCUGAGGGAUUAAAGUGAGAAAUAAAAAUGUUUAUUACGUGUAAUCUGAGGGAUUAAAGUGAGAAAUAAAAAUGUUUAUUACGUGUAAUCUGACGGAUUAAAGUGAGAAAUAAAAAUGUUUAUUACGUGUAAUCUGACGGAUUAAAGUGAGAAAUAAACAUUAUGGUGUAAUCUGAGGGAUUAAAAUGAAAAAUAAAAAUGUUUAUUACGGUGUAAUCUGAGGGAUUAAAGUGAGAAAUAAAAAUGUUUAUUACGUGUAAUCUGAGGGAUUAAAGUGAGAAAUAAAAAUGUUUAUUACGUGUAAUCUGAGGGAUUAAAGUGAGAAAUAAAAAUGUUUAUUACGUGUAAUCUGAGGGAUUAAAGUGAGAAAUAAAAAUGUUUAUUACGUGUAAUCUGACGGAUUAAAGUGAGAAAUAAACAUUAUGGUGUAAUCUGAGGGAUUAAAAUGAAAAAUAAAAAUGUUUAUUACGGUGUAAUCUGAGGGAUUAAAGUGAGAAAUAAACAUUACGGUGUAAUCUGAGGGAUUAAAGUGAGAAAUAAACAUUAUGGUGUAA